This 250-nucleotide ribosomal RNA is filed under the name uncultured bacterium. Its description in RNAcentral is "partial 16S ribosomal RNA". It matches the Rfam family "Bacterial small subunit ribosomal RNA", at positions 57 to 305 of the family's 1533-position model. The record is from RNAcentral.
GCAAGUCGAGCGGUAACAUUUCUAGCUUGCUUGGAGAUGAGGAGCGGCGGACGGGUGAGCAACGCGUAGGAAUCUACCCAGUAGUGGGGGAUAAGCCAGAGAAAUUUGGUCUAAUACCGCAUACGCCCUAUGGGAGAAAGCAGGGGAUCUUCGGACCUUGCACUAUUGGAUGAGCCUGCGUGAGAUUAGCUAGUUGGUGAGGUAAGAGCUCACCAAGGCGACGAUCUCUAGCUGGUCUGAGAGGAUGAUC